Molecule: ribosomal RNA, 456 nt
Filed under: Neisseria flavescens
Lineage: Bacteria; Pseudomonadati; Pseudomonadota; Betaproteobacteria; Neisseriales; Neisseriaceae
Description: bacterial SSU rRNA
Rfam family: Bacterial small subunit ribosomal RNA
Source: RNAcentral
AUUGAACGCUGGCGGCAUGCUUUACACAUGCAAGUCGGACGGCAGCACAGAGAAAGCUUGCUUCUUGGGUGGCGAGUGGCGAACGGGUGAGUAACAUAUCGGAACGUACCGAGUAAUGGGGGAUAACUAAUCGAAAGAUUAGCUAAUACCGCAUAUUCUCUGAGGAGGAAAGCAGGGGACUUCGGGCCUUGCGUUAUUCGAGCGGCCGAUAUCUGAUUAGCUAGUUGGUGGGGUAAAGGCCUACCAAGGCGACGAUCAGUAGCGGGUCUGAGAGGAUGAUCCGCCACACUGGGACUGAGACACGGCCCAGACUCCUACGGGAGGCAGCAGUGGGGAAUUUUGGACAAUGGGCGCAAGCCUGAUCCAGCCAUGCCGCGUGUCUGAAGAAAGGGCUUCGGGUUGUAAAGGACUUUUGUCAGGGAAGAAAAGGCUGUUGCUAAUAUCGACAGCUGAUGA